AGUGAUGUUUGAGCCCCAGCAUAGAUCAGCAUGCCAGGAAGCAGCCCACCGGACCCACCCCUGAUCAUGGCACUGGACAUUGUUUUCCGUGCUUUUCUCAGGCUGGUUUCUGCCUGUCCCAACCCUGGCCAUGGCUGACAAGGGGCCCAGGGACACUGGAGCAGAGAGACCUGCUGGUCCUUGGGGUUUCUUGCAAGCUGCCUCUAAAGGGAAAUAUCCCAGGAGUGAUGAAAACUUGAAGAUCGAGGAUUGGAUAUAAGCUCAGAGGUGAAGGAGGGAAAUUCCUCGGGUCAACUUUAGCGGACUGAUCCACGGGGUCUGCCAAGAGACAGGAGCUCGAGGGUUAAACCCAAGCACUCGGGAGUCAGAUGUAUGAAUCUGAAUCUCAGCCUCUCGGCUUGCUGUGUAAUCUCAGAGUGAAUCAUCUGUGAACACUUCCUGUGAACGUGUGACUAUGAUUAUGGAACACUCUGUUGCAUCAAGAUGGCCAGAGAUUGUCUCAGAGUCCAGGCAGUGGGAGGAGGGGGGAUUUGUUUCCUGGCUGGGUGGUCGUAGGGCAUCAAGGGAUGAGCAGCUUUGGUUGUCUGGGAUUUCAGCAGCUUGAGGGGAGCUGUAGGGCCCCAGAGCUGUCGCUGUGGCUGUGGUGUCAGAAAUGUAAGCAAGGUGCCUCCAUGGAGGUUAGCGAGGGUGCCCCUCUGAAUGCCGGGUGGAAUGCAACCUUUCGCAUGGAGGAGGCCCUCAGCAGCUGACCUCUGUCUUCCCUGUGUAGAGGGAGGGAGGCUGAGGCUGGGGCUGAGCGAGGGGUAAAGUAAGCCACGUGUCUCAUCAGCUAGCCUGCAGCAAGCACAGCCCUCUGGGAGGGCUGGUUCUAUCCUCCUCCUUGGUGUGAAAUCCAUCAAUCUAAUAGGGAUCCUUAUUUUCCCAGCCACCAAGUCACAAUGAGCAAUAAUCUCUUCUUGUUGGUGCAUAUAAAUUUGCUUCAUUCUUUUUUAAACAGCUGCCUUGUGUCGCCUUUUGCAUUCAGCCCAAGUCCAGCCUAGGAGGACAGCCUUAUCUUAAGUCACUGAGGGAACUAGCUUGCCUAACUGAAAGGGCUUUGCCCUGGAAGGAGAAGGGUCUUCUGGAAACAUAAAACGUUUCAGGGGAGGGCAGUCCUGAAUGAGAUGGCUCUAGGGGGUGGGGGACACUGGACCGCCUGAAGGUACUGGGCAUCUGGCCUGGGCUUUUGAGGAAAUGCAAAGCCAUGCUAUAGAUGAUGCUGAGCAAAGGCGGGAGAGAGACGUGGGGGUCCUACCGGGGUCACUUGAAAACCCCUUCUCCGGCCUCCCCCACGCUAACCCAUCUCUCCUGGCACGCAAGUCUGGAAAGGCCACUGGCCCUAACCAUGCUGGCUCUGCGUCCACCUUCCUCUUCAAUUCAAAUGGCUUGGAUAAAGCCAUGGGUUAUGACGCUUAACCCAUCACUGUGGGAAACUGGAUGACUUGGGGAACAAAGCCAACCUUUUGCUGUCUUGCGGAGGCAGGCAGUGGAGGGUUAUUGCCAAAAGCCUGAGCUCCGGAGCUGUGAUCUCUGAGUCUCAGUUUCCCCGUGUAAAAUGUGAUUCGAAUGAUACCUACUUCACAGGGGUAUUGUAGGGAUUGAAGGAAAUAAUGGGGAGAAGGCAUUUAUCCAAUGCCCGGCAUAGACUCUCGCAGUAACUCCCAGUUGCUCAGGCUAGUCGGGGAGGGUGGGACUGCGGCUCUAGCAGAGCCAUGGCGCCACCUUGCGGUUCUGUCGGCCAGGACAGUCGGUUAAUCAGAUUCAAAUCCAGUGACCCUUUUUCAAGCGCCUGUGAGUAGGCCUGUGCUGGGUUGAACUCAUUAUUAUUUAAACAUGUAAACUGUGUAAUGGUAAGUACAGUGCUAGUGUCUAACAGAACAUCUUGGAAAGAUCUUACAGUGCGAUGCUGGAGAAACAUCGUUUGGAAGGAACCCGCUCUCCACGCCCCCAUCAAAGGGACCCCCUUCUAAGCUACCAUGACUGCUCAAAUACCCCAGACGUUCCCAGCUUCAGCGACUAACUGGAAACAAGGUUUUGUUAGCUUAAGAGCAAGGAGAGGGGAUUCAUGAUCAGAUUUAAAAUGUCUCCUCAGUUUCCAAGUCCUGCCAUAUUGCUUCUCCCAGUUUCACUCAAACCCCCGCUCCCCUCCCCAGCCCCCUAGCCCACCACUGGUCUGCUGUCUUUCCUCUCUCCGGACCCGCUCAGGUCUCCCAUUCCCUUUGCUUUUCCCCUCCACCCCCACCUCCACUGUAACCUGCUAUGGUUAGUCUCCUCCUCUUCCUGCUGCACCCCUCAUCACCACCUCUUCUGAAAUUGCAAGCCCCCACUCCUGCUCCUCUUUCCCACUUUGCUCUGCUCCUUAACGCUUAUUGCUGACAUGCCCUGUGGCUGAUUAGUUGCUGACUGUCACGCCCCAUUUGAAGGGGGCAGUGAGGGCAGGGAUUUCAAUGUUUCUUCAUGGCUGUAUCUUCAGCACCUUAAACAGUGCCUGGCUCAUAGUGGGUGCUCAAUAACUGCUUGUUGGUUGAAUUAAGCCAUGAAUGAAAAUAAAGGUGAAAUCUGGGAUGGGGAAAAUUAGAGAAGUUGUCCAGCAUGCCUCAGGUUUCAAAGUGAGAAGAAAACGUAUUAUUUUCUAAGGUAGAAAGGAGUUUCCUAGAGAAAGUGGUGGUUUCACAGCCGAGUAACCUGCACAGCCAUACAGGACCCCACAUGUAGAAAAACCUGGUAUUAGGAAGGGCCUGGCACCUGGAGUCUAGUGCUCUGAGGCUGAAGUCUUGAAAUUCUUAAUACUUGUAUCUUUAUAUUUAUUUAUUUAUUUAUUUAUUUUUGAGACGGAGUCUCACUCUGUCAACCAGGCUGGGGUGCAGUGGUGUGAUCUUGGCUCACUGCAACCUCCACCUUCCAGGUUCAAGAGAUUCUCCUUCCUCAGCCUCCUGAGUAGCUGAGAUUACAGGCGUCCACCACCAAGCCCAGCUAAUUUGUUUUAUAUUUUUAGUAGAGACAGGGUUUCACCAUGUUGGCCAGGCUGGUCUCAAACUCCUGACCUCAGGUGAUCCACCCCACCUCGGCCUCCCAAAAUGCUGGGAUUACAAGCACGAGCCACCACGCCUGGCUACUACUUGUGUCUUUGAAUUUGCCUUUUGUAAGUGGAGUCCAGUGGGACAAUGGGAGCCUGCGUGGUGGCUCAGGGCCUCCCCUCAUGCAUGAUCCCACCUCCCAUCAGCCCCAUAGACUCCCAGGAUGAUUCUCAGACCCCUCCCUACCCUCUAGUGCACUGGGCCCCACCCAACCUCCCCUUCCCAUGACCAGAAGGGGCCUGGGCACAGGCAAGGGAAGGGUCAGCAUUGAGUAUCUAGGCUCCAAUGCAUCCCCAGGCAGGUCAUGGCAGCAGCUGUUCUGAAGCCAUUUCCCCUCUCCCCCAUGGCAGCCCCAUGGCAUGUCUGGUGGCCAUGUCUUGACAAGGGCCAUCGAGGUACCCUGGUCCAAGUAUAAAGUCCCAGCUUGGAGGUUUAAAGAUCCUUGGAGGUGGCCAAACUGCCAUGGGCUGGGGCCGUUGGCCUGUGCAAAAGGAAGAUGCCAGGCUCUGCUCCUCCUGGCCUGGCAUUGCAUAGGUCUGGUGACUGGAGGAAAGGGGAACUGAGCAGGUGUCAGAGUCAGGGGUUCCCAGAUGCCUGAGGGUCUGGUGUGUCUGUCUCCUCUGGUCAACUUGAGGCACCCUCAGAGAAGAGUCACAAAAUAUGAAUUGUGAAAUUCAUUCCCUAUCUCAGCUGAAUGCUCUGCUAUUUGCAUUUAAAAUCUGCAUUGCACGACAUAAAUGGUAAAAUUCAUGCUAAUCAUUUAAAUUUUUAAUUUUUCUUUACUUAGAAUAUUAAAUAGCAAAUAACAUCACAAUAAGCAGAGAAAGAGAGAGAGAGAAACCUUGGAAGAAAGGGAAAAGCAUUGUAGGUACCUUUCAGGGUACUUGUUUCCUGCUUUUCGAACAAGAGUCCCGCAUUACCAUUUUGCACUAGGUCUUGCAAAUUUUAUAGCUGGCCAGGAGUUAUACUCAACAUUCAUGUCAAGGUGAUUCUGUUAGGAUUAAAGAUCUGGUAAUCAGUUUCUGAUUGUGUUUGGAUAGUAUCAUUUGUACUUGAUGGAACUAUGCUGCCAGCUGUGUAAUAAUCCUACAUAUAUAAAGGAGCUAUUUCCUCUCAUUUAUUAUUAACCCUUUAAAACUUGGUCUUAUUUCAUUAAGCUAAAAGGACUAGCAUUGCCAGGAAAAUCUCACAAAGGAAAAGGCACAGCAUAGACUGCUAAUUUAUACUAAAAGUCAGAUAUAUACAUAUUUAAAUAUCCAUCAAAAUCCAAAAUAACUUUCCUUCAAGGCUGAGAUAUGUCCCAACAAGUUUGAGCUUAGAUCAGGUUUCUCAAAAGUGGCACUAUUGACAUUGGGAGCCGAUCAUAGUCCCAGGAGAUACAAUUUUUAAUGCCAUAAUCCCGAAUGUCAUAAUGCUGAAGUCCCAAAAGGUCAAAAUCCAUAAAGUCUAAAACCUGAAAAUCAUAAUCCUGAAAGAGCAGAAUUCCAAAAAUGUAAUUCCGGAAAAUAUAAUUUAAAAAUUCUUUAAAAGAUAUUUAUUUACUUUUUUUUUUACAUUUACAUGUAUUUACAUUUUUAAAGGGAAUUUAUUUGAGAAACAUAUGAAAACACAGAACACUUCAUAGGUCACUUUAUGCAAUAAAAUAGGCAAUAAUAACAUACAUUUUUGUGCAAGCAUAAACAUUCAUAUAUACUAAUGAAAGUUGCAUAAUUAUAUCAGUAAUGAACAGACAAGCCAUAUUCAUAAAGAAAUAGGUCAUAAAGGGGCUGGGCGCAAUGGCUCAUACCUGUAAUCCCAGCCAAGGUGGGAGGAUUGCUUGAGCCCAUGAGUUCAAGACCAUCCUGGGCAAAACAGUGAGACUCCAUCACAGGAGGCUGAAGUGGGAGGAUUACUUGAGCCUACGAGGCCAAGGCUACAUUGAGCUGUGAUCACACCACUGCAUUCCAGCCUGGGCAACAAAGUGAGACUCUAUCUCAAAAAAAAAAAAAAAAAAAAAAAAAAAAAGGAAAGAAAAAAAAAGAAAUAGGUCAAGAAGGGAAAUGUAAAUGCAUAUCCCCAUGGUUGGUAAAUGUGUGCACCCAGUUUUAUGCCUUUGGUCAUCUGAAAUACCAUAACAACCUAAGAUUCUUUUGAUGAGAUCUAUCAAAAACAGGAUGGGUCACUACUGCAUAUGCAGCCACCUAAAGAGCCAAGAUGUUCAAACAUUUUACCUUUCACAAAUGCAGAUGUACAAAAAGGACACCUCUUCACUUACUGAGGAUGCUUCAAUGUUUUUAUGUACAGGAACAAUGCUUACACACAGUCAAUGCUGUGACAAUGUACUUUCAUGGAGUCAAAUUUGCAAAAAAACAGAACUUUCUAAGUCUCUACACAAAUUAUGCCUCCAGUAUCAGAAAUGAUUUGAAGAUGAAUUAUAUAGCAUAGCAAAUUGUAAAAAAGAAUGCCAACAAUUUUAAAUAGUGAAAAAAAAACAUAAAACAGAAAAAAAAAAGAUAAUUUGACAUACAAAAAAGUGUAUUACAGGACUGGAUUAUGGGCAAUUGCAUGGAGAUAGUCCAUAAGAGCUGGCCAACCUCCACAAUCAUUAACUAUAUUUUAAAGUCUUGCAUCAUGAGGAAUAGCUGCUUUUUCUCUUUUAGGGCAUGGCUCUACUUGGAGAAUAUGUUCACAUUCAUUUUCUACAUGGUGCUGUUCUUCCUGGCAUUCUUCUAUGAUUCCAUAUACACUGACAGGAGCAUUCCCUACUAAAUUUCCCUAUUUUCUGUGUCAUGCUUCUGUGUUGUUUUGGGUACUCAGAAAUCUGUUCUGCAUGCACUCAUUAGGCCACAGAUUUGACAGAAACAGUACUGGUGAUCAAACAGCAACACCAUUGUGUAUUUUCUUAUCCUACCAUGUACAUAUUUAUUUUCAAAACAGUCAGUAACUUUGCUGACGUCUUCAGGCAAAUGUGGCUUUAAUUCAUUAAAAGUUUCUAGAAUGUCAUCAGCUGGAAGGAAUUCCAAGGCAGGCGAAUGAUACAUUUUUUCCCCAUCUCUUAAUACAUACUGUACACAAGGAAACACUCUUCCCCCACCCCCCACCCACCUGCCCUUUAAGAGACAGGGUCUCUCUCUGUCUCCCAGGCUGGAGUACAGUGGCUUCAUCACAGCUCACUGCAGCCUCCACCUCCCGGGCUCAGACAAUCCUCCUGCCUCAGCCUCCCAAGUAGCUGGGACCACAGGCACACGCCACACCUGGCUAACUUUUAAAAAAAUUAUUUCUAGAGACAGUGUCUCACUACAUUGCCCAGGCUGUUAUGAAAUUUCUAAGUUCAAGAGAUCCUCCCUCCUUGGCCACCACGCCCAGCUGGAAAGUGCAUUUUUAAACUGAAGUUUUUUGUUUUGUUUUCAAGGUUACACAGUAAUUUAUUGAGAGCCUCCUCUCCCUGCCCUUGCAGUCUCUAGGUCACUUUUUCCGCUUGUAGAUUUUGCACGCCAGCCCCAGAAAGAUGGCUGGGAGCAGGGGCAUUGCAUACUGUUCAAUGAGACCCAUAAUGUGGCUGUGGCUGUAACUGUCAUCCUCAUACUGCAAGAACACGGCCAGCAGAUCUAGCUCCUCAUAUAGUGCCUUCUCCUGGACCACCUUCUUGGCCUCCUUCUGCCCCUAAUUCUCCUUCAGGAUCUGGUACUGUUUUGGAGUGGCCCAUUGCAGACACUGAACCACCAGCCAGCUGCAUUUGUUGUCCUAGAUGGCAGUGCCAACUUUGUCAGUCACAGUGGAGUCCCCAAAGAGGUCAAAGUGAUCAUCCUGAAUCUUAAAGAACUCUCCCAUCUCCAGCAGGAUCUUCUUGGCAUUGGUGUGUGCCUUCUCACCAUCAAUGCCUGCCAUAUGCAUGGCUGCAGCUAUAGGAAGGUAGAAAGAGUAGAAAACUGUCUUGUACUUGACAAUUUGUAAUUCUUUUCCUUGAAUCUGCGAAGAUCCACAUUGCCCUGGGGGUGCUGUGAUGGGGUCCAGGGUCUGCCCAAUCUCAGUCUGAUAGGAACUCUGCAGGAAGAGCUCAAUCAGGUUCAGGUAAUAGGGCUGCUCCCAACAACAGAGCUUCAGCAGGCAGUAGAUACAUGCUUCCAGAAGCAUAGCAUCAUUGACAGCAUCCAAACCCACGCCCAGCUUCUGAUACCAGCAGAUCUGUCCCCAGUGGGUGAGGGAUGAAUCCGUGAUGUCAUCUACCACGAGGAAGAAAGCUUGCAGCAGUUCCACACACCAACCCACCAUCAGGGCCCGCUGGAAACUAUCAGCAUCCUGUUUCCUUGGCUCCACCAGCUCCCGGAAUGCUAAGCACCGUCAAACCCCGGUGAUAACUUGCCUCCGAUGGCAUUGUACUCCAGGACCUCCUUGAGCUGGGCGAUAGCAUCUCCUGUCUCUGGGUGCCCCAUCUCAUCCUCAGUCAGCACCCUAACAAUCCGGGAGAAGUGCUGAAUGAAAUCCUGUUUUUCUUGGGCAUAAGCAUCUGAUUUUUGAUCUCCAUUCAUUCUGAGGGAGGAGCAAAGGGCUCUAUUCCUGGAUGCGGGUUCCUGCUUCUAAACUGAAGUUUUUGUCAUUGCUGUAUCUCCUGGCCUAUCUACUCAUCUAAUUUUCUAUCAAAUGCAUUGGGCUGAAUGGAAAAAAAACAAACUUUAUUGGUAACACUUUGAAAUUCACUUUUAGAAGCUUUGAUCACACCUAAUUCCAAAUCUGUUGUUAUGGUUUGGGGAUUCAAUCGAAAGCUAUUUUCUUCUGCAAAGUGCAGCAAAUCUUCAAAUAAUUGUUUAAAUGACUAGAUAAGUUCUAGAAUCUUCAGAACCAACAGGGGCAUGAAUCAUGUAUAGUUGAUAAAAACCAGUAGGGAUAGUUUUGAAAGUGCCGUCCACUAGCCAAAAUGAAAACAUGCGAUAGUUUUUCUGUUAGAUUUAGUGGUAAAUAUAAGCAGUCUAUCUUCUUCGACAGUCAAAUCCCUAACCAAGAACAGUUUGGUUAAUGAGUUUUGUAACACUGGAGGAACCUCAGUAUCAGCAAGUGUCUUUGGUUCACAAGGUCGUUCAGCUUGUCGAAUUUUAUUCUCUGACAAAGGGCAUUUUUUUAAGGCAAGCGUGGCACUAUUCAUGAAGGAGCAGAAUUUGUACAUAACUGAAUAAUUUGGCAGGAGAGAUUUCUUGUACUUUUCACCUGAAAAGUCGCUUUUAUGAUCUUCAAAACACUAAACAUUGAGGAAAGAUAUUCCCCACCUAGUCUACUGAGACUCACAUAUUAACCUCCUCUGGAAACACCCUCACAGACACAUCUAAAAUAAUGCUUUACCAGAUUUCUAGGGAUUCCUUAAUCCAGUCAAGUUGACACAUAAAUCAACAAGUUCACCCCUUAUCAACUCGAUAUCCAUCCACAUCUCUUAAACCAUACUUAAUUUCCAAAUGAAGACAAUAACAAGGUAAUAGUUCUGCCUAACAUGAUGCAAUUAUCCUGUAUACAGCUGAAACGGCACUAAUCCCUAACCUCAAAUUCGGCUUUCAGGAUUUUAACAUCUGGGAUUUUAAUCUUUCAGGAUUGUGAUUUUGGAAGUUCACACAUUAGGGAUUCUGAUCUUUUGGGAUUUAAGACAUUAGGGAUUUUGGUCUUUCAGGAUUUUCGCAUUUGAGAUUGUAUCAUUCAGGAUUAUGAUCCAAACCCAUGGACAUUUUGUUGUCAGCAGCUGUCCUGUGCAUUGUAAAAUGUUUACAGUGUCCCUGGCCUGUACCCACUAGCAGCCAGUAGCACCCUACCCCAAAUCAUGACAAUCAAAAAUGCCCCCAGACAUUGCCAAACGUCUCUUGAGGAGCAAAAUCACCCUGUUAAGGACCACUGGCUUACAUACAUGGAUUAAUGAGAUGGGAGGUAAAGCGCCAUACAGUUUAGGACUGGAAUGCCACUCCCUUGAGCAUCAGAUCCAUGUUUCCUUCUGUACCCUACAAUGAAGACCUACAAAUCAUAAACACAACUCCCAUCAACUAAGAGACCAACAAAUGCAAGACACAUAACUACAGGGAAACUGAAGAAUUCUUUUAUUUAGUGGGAAAGAAGUAGGUAAAUGACAGACAGCUCAUAUUCUGUUAAACAGAAAAAAAAAAA
RNAcentral lists this long non-coding RNA (9233 nucleotides) under Homo sapiens (human). RNAcentral describes it as "HSALNT0298060". Lineage: Eukaryota; Metazoa; Chordata; Mammalia; Primates; Hominidae. The record is from RNAcentral.